UACAGAGGUCCCAAGCGUUGUUCGGAUUCACUGGGCGUAAAGGGCUCGUAGGCGGUUUGUCGCGUCGGGAGUGAAAUCCACUGGCUUAACUGGUGGCUUGCUUUCGAUACGGGCAGACUGGAGGUAUGCAGGGGAGAACGGAAUUCCUGGUGUAGCGGUGAAAUGCGCAGAUAUCAGGAGGAACACCGGUGGCGAAGGCGGUUCUCUGGGCAUGUCCUGACGCUGAGGAGCGAAAGUGUGGGGAGCGAACAGG
This 253-nucleotide ribosomal RNA is filed under the name uncultured bacterium. Its description in RNAcentral is "partial 16S ribosomal RNA". It matches the Rfam family "Bacterial small subunit ribosomal RNA", at positions 524 to 776 of the family's 1533-position model. The record is from RNAcentral.